GACGAACGCUGGCGGCGUGCCUAACACAUGCAAGUCGAGCGAAGUACUUGUCAUGAAGCCUUCGGGCGGAUUGAUAAACUACUUAGCGGCGGAUGGGUGAGUAACGCGUGAGGAACAAAAACUUCCACAAGGGGAUAGCCUCGGGAAACCGGGAUUAAUACCCUAUGAUACUUAAGAUCCGCAUGGAUUUUAAGUUAAAGCGUUAGCGGUGGAAGAUGGUCUCGCGUCCCAUUAGCUAGUUGGUGAGGUAACGGCUCACCAAGGCCACGAUGGGUAGCCGGCUUGAGAGAGUGACCGGCCACACUGGAACUGAGACACGGUCCAGACUCCUACGGGAGGCAGCAGUGGGGAAUAUUGCACAAUGGAGGAAACUCUGAUGCAGCGACGCCGCGUGAGCGAUGAAGGCCUUCGGGUCGUAAAGCUCUGUCCUAUGGGACGAUAAUGACGGUACCAUAGGAGGAAGCCCCGGCUAACUACGUGCCAGCAGCCGCGGUAACACGUAGGGGGCGAGCGUUGUCCGGAAUUACUGGGCGUAAAGGGUACGUAGGCGGUCUUGUAAGUCAGAUGUGAAAGGCAUGGGCUUAACCCAUGUAAGCAUUUGAAACUAUGUGACUUGAGUUAAGGAGAGGAAAGUGGAAUU
This 640-nucleotide ribosomal RNA is filed under the name uncultured bacterium. RNAcentral describes it as "bacterial SSU rRNA". It matches the Rfam family "Bacterial small subunit ribosomal RNA", at positions 28 to 668 of the family's 1533-position model. The record is from RNAcentral.